GAGGCCACUGCUAUGGGGGUCCGACUAAGCCAUGCGAGUCAUGGGGCGCGCUCUGCGCGCACCGGCGGACGGCUCAGUAACACGUCGGUAACCUACCCUCGGGAGGGGGAUAACCCCGGGAAACUGGGGCUAAUCCCCCAUAGGCCUGAGGUACUGGAAGGUCCUCAGGCCGAAAGGGUCUCUGACCGCCCGAGGAUGGGCCGGCGGCCGAUUAGGUAGUUGGUGGGGUAACGGCCCACCAAGCCGAAGAUCGGUACGGGCCAUGAGAGUGGGAGCCCGGAGAUGGACACUGAGACACGGGUCCAGGCCCUACGGGGCGCAGCAGGCGCGAAACCUCCGCAAUGCGGGCAACCGCGACGGGGGGACCCCCAGUGCCGUGGCAUCGCCACGGCUUUUCCGGAGUGUAAAGAGCUCCGGGAAUAAGGGCUGGGCAAGGCCGGUGGCAGCCGCCGCGGUAAUACCGGCGGCCCGAGUGGUGGCCGCUAUUAUUGGGCCUAAAGCGUCCGUAGCCGGGCCCGUAAGUCCCUGGCGAAAUCCCACGGCUCAACCGUGGGGCUUGCUGGGGAUACUGCGGGCCUUGGGACCGGGAGAGGCGGAGGGUACUCCUGGGGUAGGGGUGAAAUCCUAUAAUCCCAGGAGGACCGCCAGUGGCGAAGGCGCUCCGCUGGAACGGGUCCGACGGUGAGGGACGAAGGCCAGGGGAGCGAACCGGAUUAGAUACCCGGGUAGUCCUGGCUGUAAAGGAUGCGGGCUAGGUGUCGGGCGAGCUUCGAGCUCGCCCGGUGCCGAAGGGAAGCCGUUAAGCCCGCCGCCUGGGGAGUACGGCCGCAAGGCUGAAACUUAAAGGAAUUGGCGGGGGAGCACUACAAGGGGUGGAGCGUGCGGUUUAAUUGGAUUCAACGCCGGGAACCUCACCGGGGGCGACGGCAGGAUGAAGGCCAGGCUGAAGGUCUUGCCGGACACGCCGAGAGGAGGUGCAUGGCCGCCGUCAGCUCGUACCGUGAGGCGUCCACUUAAGUGUGGUAACGAGCGAGACCCGCGCCCCCAGUUGCCAGUCCUCCCCGCUGGGGAGGAGGCACUCUGGGGGGACCGCCGGCGAUAAGCCGGAGGAAGGAGCGGGCGACGGUAGGUCAGUAUGCCCCGAAACCCCCGGGCUACACGCGCGCUACAAUGGGCGGGACAAUGGGAUCCGACCCCGAAAGGGGAAGGGAAUCCCCUAAACCCGCCCCCAGUUCGGAUCGCGGGCUGCAACUCGCCCGCGUGAAGCUGGAAUCCCUAGUACCCGCGUGUCAUCAUCGCGCGGCGAAUACGUCCCUGCUCCUUGCACACACCGCCCGUCACUCCACCCGAGCGGGGUCUGGAUGAGGCCUGGUCUCCCUUCGGGGAGGCCGGGUCGAGUCUGGGCUCCGUGAGGGGGGAGAA
Molecule: ribosomal RNA, 1422 nt
Filed under: Thermococcus siculi
Lineage: Archaea; Methanobacteriati; Methanobacteriota; Thermococci; Thermococcales; Thermococcaceae
Description: 16S ribosomal RNA
Rfam family: Archaeal small subunit ribosomal RNA
Source: RNAcentral